RNAcentral lists this transfer RNA (74 nucleotides) under Gonium pectorale. RNAcentral's name for it is "tRNA-Trp". It matches the Rfam family "tRNA". Rfam says of the family: Transfer RNA (tRNA) molecules are approximately 80 nucleotides in length. Their secondary structure includes four short double-helical elements and three loops (D, anti-codon, and T loops). The record is from RNAcentral. Lineage: Eukaryota; Viridiplantae; Chlorophyta; Chlorophyceae; Chlamydomonadales; Volvocaceae.
AGGAGUGUAGCUUAGUUUGGUAAAGCACUUGAUUCCAAAUCAAAAGACCGAAGGUUCGAGUCCUUUCAUUCCUG